RNAcentral lists this non-coding RNA (108 nucleotides) under Desulfoscipio gibsoniae. RNAcentral's name for it is "Desulfotomaculum gibsoniae TPP sequence". It matches the Rfam family "TPP riboswitch aptamer (THI element)". Rfam says of the family: Vitamin B(1) in its active form thiamin pyrophosphate (TPP) is an essential coenzyme that is synthesised by coupling of pyrimidine and thiazole moieties in bacteria. The previously detected thiamin-regulatory element, thi box was extended, resulting in a new, highly conserved RNA secondary structure, the THI element, which is widely distributed in eubacteria and also occurs in some archaea. Lineage: Bacteria; Bacillati; Bacillota; Clostridia; Eubacteriales; Desulfallaceae. RNAcentral also lists the same sequence under 1 other name. The record is from RNAcentral.
UAUACUAACUGGGGGAGCUCAUUGUAUGGGCUGAGAAAGGGCUGUAAGCACCUGACCCAUGAACCUGAACGGGGUAAUGCCCGCGUAGGAAAGGUAUAAAUGACAAUC